CCUACGGGGGGCUGCAGUGGGGAAUAUUGGACAAUGGGGGGAACCCUGAUCCAGCCAUGCCGCGUGUGUGAAGAAGGCCCUCGGGUUGUAAAGCACUUUCAGUGAGGAAGAACGCCUGGUGGUUAAUACCCAUCAGGAAAGACAUCACUCACAGAAGAAGCACCGGCUAACUCCGUGCCAGCAGCCGCGGUAAUACGGAGGGUGCGAGCGUUAAUCGGAAUUACUGGGCGUAAAGCGCGCGUAGGUGGCUUGAUAAGCCGGUUGUGAAAGCCCCGGGCUCAACCUGGGAACGGCAUCCGGAACUGUCAAGCUAGAGUGCAGGAGAGGAAGGUAGAAUUCCCGGUGUAGCGGUGAAAUGCGUAGAGAUCGGGAGGAAUACCAGUGCCGAAGGCGGCCUUCUGGACUGACACUGACACUGAGGUGCGAAAGCGUGGGUAGCAAACAGGAUUAGAUACCCGAGUAGUC
Molecule: ribosomal RNA, 465 nt
Filed under: Vreelandella stevensii
Lineage: Bacteria; Pseudomonadati; Pseudomonadota; Gammaproteobacteria; Oceanospirillales; Halomonadaceae
Description: partial 16S ribosomal RNA
Rfam family: Bacterial small subunit ribosomal RNA
Source: RNAcentral